Molecule: ribosomal RNA, 188 nt
Filed under: Naumovozyma castellii
Lineage: Eukaryota; Fungi; Ascomycota; Saccharomycetes; Saccharomycetales; Saccharomycetaceae
Description: partial small subunit ribosomal RNA
Source: RNAcentral
UAUAUAAUAUAUAAUAUUUUAUUAAUAUUUAUAUUAAAUAUAUAUAAGAAAUAAUAUUAAUUAAUGCGAAGUUGAAAUACAGUUACUGUAGGGGAACCUGCAGUGGGCUUAUAAUAUACUUUAAUAUUCCAUACAUAAUAUAAUAUAUAUAUAUAUAUAUCAUAAAUUAUAUAUAUUUUAUAUAUUCC